RNAcentral lists this transfer RNA (77 nucleotides) under Alphaproteobacteria bacterium. RNAcentral's name for it is "tRNA-Pro". It matches the Rfam family "tRNA". From Rfam's summary of the family: Transfer RNA (tRNA) molecules are approximately 80 nucleotides in length. Their secondary structure includes four short double-helical elements and three loops (D, anti-codon, and T loops). Further hydrogen bonds mediate the characteristic L-shaped molecular structure. tRNAs have two regions of fundamental functional importance: the anti-codon, which is responsible for specific mRNA codon recognition, and the 3' end, to which the tRNAs corresponding amino acid is attached (by aminoacyl-tRNA synthetases). tRNAs cope with the degeneracy of the genetic code in two manners: having more than one tRNA (with a specific anti-codon) for a particular amino acid; and 'wobble' base-pairing, i.e. permitting non-standard base-pairing at the 3rd anti-codon position. The record is from RNAcentral. Lineage: Bacteria; Pseudomonadati; Pseudomonadota; Alphaproteobacteria.
CGGAGUGUAGCGCAGCCUGGUAGCGCAUCUGCUUUGGGAGCAGAGGGUCGGGAGUUCGAAUCUCUCCACUCCGACCA